UGAGGAAUCUUGCGCAAUGGGGGGAACCCUGACGCAGCAACGCCGCGUGAGUGAGGAAGGUCUUCGGAUCGUAAAGCUCUGUCGGAUGGGAAGAAAUGUGUAUUGGUUAAUACCCGGUACAUUUGACGGUACCAUCAAAGGAAGCACCGGCUAACUCCGUGCCAGCAGCCGCGGUAAUACGGGGGGUGCAAGCGUUGUUCGGAAUCAUUGGGCGUAAAGGGCGUGUAGGCGGCUAGAUAAGUCAGAUGUGAAAUCCCUGGGCUUAACCCAGGAAGUGCAUUUGAAACUGGUUGGCUUGAGUAAGGGAGAGGAAAGUGGAAUUCCUGGUGUAGAGGUGAAAUUCGUAGAUAUCAGGAGGAACACCGGUGGCGAAGGCGACUUUCUGGCCCUAUACUGACGCUGAGACGCGAAAGCGUGGGUAGCAAACA
Molecule: ribosomal RNA, 428 nt
Filed under: uncultured prokaryote
Description: bacterial SSU rRNA
Rfam family: Bacterial small subunit ribosomal RNA
Source: RNAcentral